Molecule: microRNA precursor, 99 nt
Filed under: Marmota monax (woodchuck)
Lineage: Eukaryota; Metazoa; Chordata; Mammalia; Rodentia; Sciuridae
Source: RNAcentral
AGUGAAAUUGCCAGGUCACAUGGUAACUGUUUAUCUUUUUGAGGGACUGUCAAGGAGUUUUCCAAAAUGGAUGUACCAUUUUACAUUAUCACCAGCAAU